This 490-nucleotide ribosomal RNA is filed under the name uncultured bacterium. RNAcentral describes it as "bacterial SSU rRNA". It matches the Rfam family "Bacterial small subunit ribosomal RNA", at positions 28 to 509 of the family's 1533-position model. The record is from RNAcentral.
GAUGAACGCUAGCGGCAGGCCUAAUACAUGCAAGCUGAACGGUAAAUAUUGUAGCAAUACAAUAUGAGAGUAGCGUAAGGGUGCGUAACACGUAUGCAAUCUGCCCUGUACAGGAGGAUAGCUCGGGGAAACCCGGAUUAAUACUCCGUAAUAUUAUUGGGUGGCAUCACCUGGUAAUUAAGGUCGCAAGACGGUAUGGGAUGAGCAUGCGUCUGAUUAGCUAGUUGGUAGUGUAACGGACUACCAAGGCGAUGAUCAGUAGGGGAACUGAGAGGUUGAUCCCCCACACUGGCACUGAGAUACGGGCCAGACUCCUACGGGAGGCAGCAGUAGGGAAUAUUGGUCAAUGGAUGCAAGUCUGAACCAGCCAUGCCGCGUGCAGGAAGAAGGCCUUCUGGGUUGUAAACUGCUUUUGCCGGGGGAUAAAAAGUCCAUGCGUGGACAAUUGAAGGUAACCCGGUCGGAAUAAGACCACGGCUAACUACUAGCC